This 420-nucleotide ribosomal RNA is filed under the name uncultured bacterium. RNAcentral describes it as "bacterial SSU rRNA". It matches the Rfam family "Bacterial small subunit ribosomal RNA", at positions 356 to 773 of the family's 1533-position model. The record is from RNAcentral.
GAGGAAUAUUGGUCAAUGGGCGAGAGCCUGAACCAGCCAAGUCGCGUGAAGGAAGAAGGAUCUAUGGUUCGUAAACUUCUUUUGCAGGGGAAUAAAGUGCAGGACGUGUCCUGUUUUGUAUGUACCCUGAGAAUAAGGAUCGGCUAACUCCGUGCCAGCAGCCGCGGUAAUACGGAGGAUCCGAGCGUUAUCCGGAUUUAUUGGGUUUAAAGGGUGCGUAGGUGGUUUGAUAAGUCAGCGGUGAAAGUUUGCAGCUUAACUGUAAAAAUGCCGUUGAAACUGUCGGACUUGAGUGUAAAUGAGGUAGGCGGAAUGCGUGGUGUAGCGGUGAAAUGCAUAGAUAUCACGCAGAACUCCGAUUGCGAAGGCAGCUUACUAAGCUACAACUGACACUGAAGCACGAAAGCGUGGGGAUCAAAC